Molecule: non-coding RNA, 99 nt
Filed under: Halomonas sp.
Lineage: Bacteria; Pseudomonadati; Pseudomonadota; Gammaproteobacteria; Oceanospirillales; Halomonadaceae
Also listed under: 1 other name
Description: TPP sequence
Rfam family: TPP riboswitch aptamer (THI element)
About the family: Vitamin B(1) in its active form thiamin pyrophosphate (TPP) is an essential coenzyme that is synthesised by coupling of pyrimidine and thiazole moieties in bacteria. The previously detected thiamin-regulatory element, thi box was extended, resulting in a new, highly conserved RNA secondary structure, the THI element, which is widely distributed in eubacteria and also occurs in some archaea. Analysis of operon structures identified a large number of new candidate thiamin-regulated genes, mostly transporters, in various prokaryotic organisms.
Source: RNAcentral
GCGCAUGGCACGGGGUGUCCCGCACGAUAGCGGGGCUGAGAAACACCCGUCGAACCUGAUCCAGUUCAUACCGGCGAAGGGAUGUCAGCGCAGUCGUCA